CUGGCGGCGUGCUUCAUACAUGCAAGUCGAACGAGAAGUCGACCUCGGGUGAUGGAAAGUGGCGGACGGGUGAGUAAUGUGUAGAGAAUCUGCCCUUAGUGGGGGACGAACAGUUGGAAACGACUGCUAAUACCCCAUAUGCGCGUAGCUGAGAUGCUAUUCGUGAAAACUCCGGUGCUAAAGGAUGAGUCUGCAUCUGAUUAGCUAGUUGGCGGUGUAAUGGACCACCAAGGCGACGAUCAGUAGCUGGUUUGAGAGGAUGAUCAGCCACAAUGGGACUGAGACACGGCCCAUACUCCUACGGGAGGCAGCAGUGGGGAAUAUUGCACAAUGGGGGAAACCCUGAUGCCAGCGACGCCGCGUGAGUGAAGAAGUAUUUCGGUAUGUAAAGCUCUAUCAGCAGGGAAGAAAAUGACGGUACCUGACUAAGAAGCCCCGGCUAACUACGUGCCAGCCGCCGC
This 461-nucleotide ribosomal RNA is filed under the name uncultured bacterium. RNAcentral's name for it is "bacterial SSU rRNA". It matches the Rfam family "Bacterial small subunit ribosomal RNA", at positions 36 to 518 of the family's 1533-position model. The record is from RNAcentral.